GAUGAACGCUGGCGGCGUGCCUAAUACAUGCAAGUCGAGCGAACAGAUGAGGAGCUUGCUCCUCUGACGUUAGCGGCGGACGGGUGAGUAACACGUGGAUAACCUACCUAUAAGACUGGGAUAACUUCGGGAAACCGGAGCUAAUACCGGAUAAUAUAUUGAACCGCAUGGUUCAAUAGUGAAAGACGGUUGUGCUGUCACUUAUAGAUUGAUCCGCGCCGCAUUAGCUAGUUGGUAAGGUAACGGCUUACCAAGGCAACGAUGGGUAGCCGACCUGAAAGGGUGGUCGGCCACCCUGGAACUGAGACACGGUCCAGACUCCUACGGGAGGCAGCAGUAGGGAAUCUUCCGCAAUGGGCGAAAGCCUGACGGAGCAACGCCGCGUGAGUGAUGAAGGUCUUCGGAUCGUAAAACUCUGUUAUUAGGGAAGAACAAAUGUGUAAGUAACUAUGCACGUCUUGACGGUACCUAAUCAGAAAGCCACGGCUAACUACGUG
This 497-nucleotide ribosomal RNA is filed under the name uncultured bacterium. Its description in RNAcentral is "partial 16S ribosomal RNA". It matches the Rfam family "Bacterial small subunit ribosomal RNA", at positions 28 to 507 of the family's 1533-position model. The record is from RNAcentral.